UACGAAGGGGGCUAUCGUUGCUCGGAAUCACUGGGCGUAAAGGGUGCGUAGGCGGGUCUUUAAGUCAGGGGUGAAAUCCUGGAGCUCAACUCCAGAACUGCCUUUGAUACUGAAGAUCUUGAGUUCGGGAGAGGUGAGUGGAACUGCGAGUGUAGAGGUGAAAUUCGUAGAUAUUCGCAAGAACACCAGUGGCGAAGGCGGCUCACUGGCCCGAUACUGACGCUGAGGCACGAAAGCGUGGGGAGCAAACAGG
RNAcentral lists this ribosomal RNA (253 nucleotides) under uncultured bacterium. RNAcentral describes it as "partial 16S ribosomal RNA". It matches the Rfam family "Bacterial small subunit ribosomal RNA", at positions 524 to 776 of the family's 1533-position model. The record is from RNAcentral.